RNAcentral lists this ribosomal RNA (1451 nucleotides) under uncultured bacterium. RNAcentral's name for it is "16S ribosomal RNA". It matches the Rfam family "Bacterial small subunit ribosomal RNA". The record is from RNAcentral.
AGAGUUUGAUCCUGGCUCAGAACUAACGCUGGCGGCGGGCCUUAUACAUGCAAGUCGAGCGGUUCAUUGACUUCGGUCAAUGGAUAGCGGCGAACGGGUGAGUAAUGGAUGGGAAUAUGCCCUCUGGAGAGGAAUAGCUUCAGGAAACUGAAGGUAAUACCUCAUGAUCUCUAAGGAGCAAAGUCAUGUGACGCCGGAGGAUUAGCCCAUUUACCAUUAGGUAGUUGGUGAGGUAAUGGCUCACCAAGCCUAUGUAUGGUUAGCCGGUUUGAGAGAAUGAUCGGCCACACUGGUAUUGAGAACGGACCAGGCUUCUACGGAAGGCUGCAGUAAGGAAUUUUGGACAAUGAAGGAAACUUUGAUCCAGCUACGCCGCGUGAAUCAUGAAGGUCUUAGGAUUGUAAAGUUCUUUCGGCAGGGAAGAUGAUGACUGUACCUGCAGAAGAAAUCCCGGCAAAUUCCGUGCCAGCAGCCGCGGUAAUACGGAAGGGGUAAGCGUUGUUCGGAAUCAUUGGGUGUAAAGGGUGCGCAGGUGGUCUGUUGUGUUAGAUGUGAAAUCCUCGGGCUCAACCCGAGAACUGCAUUUAAAACUGACGGACUAGAGCAAAGAAGAGGAAGAUGGAAUUCUCAGUGUAGAGGUGAAAUUCGUAGAUAUUGAGAGGAACACCAGAGGCGAAGCGAUCUUCUGGUCCUUUGCUGACACUCAUGCACGAAAGCUUGGGGAGUAAACAGGAUUAGAUACCCUGGUAAUCCAAGCCCUAAACGAUGGACGCUAGAUGUUAGAAAUUUUUUUAGUAUCGCAGCUAACGCGUUAAGCGUCCCACCUGGGGAGUACGGUCGCAAGAUUAAAACUCAAAGGAAUUGACGGGAGCCUGCACAAGCGGUGGGGUAUGUUGUUUAAUUCGAUGAUCCGCGAAGAACCUUACCAGCCCUUGACAUUGCGUGUGUCAGUCUAGUGAAAAUUAGGUUGACUAGCCACGUGACAGGUGCUGCAUGGCUGUCGUCAGUUCGUGUCUUGAGAUGUUGGGUUAAGUCCUAUAACGAACGCAACCCUUGUCUUUAGUUGCUAACAGGUUAUGCUGAGAACUCUAAAGAGACUGCCAAUGUUAAGUUGGAGGAAGGAAAGGAUGACGUCAAGUCAUCAUGGCCCUUAUGGGCUGGGCUACAAACGUACCACAAUGGGAGUUACAAAAAGCUGCAAGGAGGCGACUCUGAGCCAAUCUCUAAAAACUCUCUCAGUUCGGAUUGUUCUCUGCAACUCGGGAACAUGAAGUCGGAAUCGCUAGUAAUCGUGAAUCAGCGCGUCACGGUGAAUACGUUCUCAGGCUUUGUACACACCGCCCGUCAAACCACGGAAGAUGGUUUUGCUCGAAGCCGGUGAGCUAACUCGCAAGAGAGGCAUCCGUCUACAGUAAAACUGUUGACCAGGGUUAAGUCGUAACAAGGUAACC